CAAAUUAGAGCUUGAUUUAAGCAUUUUAUUUACAUUAAAAGGAUAAUUGUAAUAAAUUCAAUUUAAUUUGA
Molecule: transfer RNA, 71 nt
Filed under: Eurysternus hamaticollis
Lineage: Eukaryota; Metazoa; Arthropoda; Insecta; Coleoptera; Scarabaeidae
Description: tRNA-Val
Source: RNAcentral